RNAcentral lists this ribosomal RNA (379 nucleotides) under uncultured organism. RNAcentral's name for it is "partial 16S ribosomal RNA". It matches the Rfam family "Bacterial small subunit ribosomal RNA", at positions 527 to 896 of the family's 1533-position model. The record is from RNAcentral.
GGGGGGGCGAAGCGUUGUUCGGAAUUACUGGGCGGUAAAGGGACGCGCAGGCGGCCCGGCCAAGUCCUACGUGAAAUACCCACCAGCUCAACUGUGGAACUGCGUGGGAUACUGCCAGGCUUGAGUCCGGGAGAGGAGAGUGGAAUUCCCAGUGUAGCGGUGAAAUGCGUAGAUAUUGGGAGGAACACCGGUGGCGAAGGCGGCUCUCUGGACCGGUACUGACGCUGAGGCGCGAAAGCUAGGGGAGCAAACGGGAUUAGAUACCCCGGUAGUCCUAGCCGUAAACUUUGAGCACUUGGUGUGGCGGGUAUCGACCCCCCUGCCGUGCCGAAGCUAACGCAUUAAGUGCUCCGCCUGGGGGAGUACGGUCGCAAGGCUG